CGGAUGUGGGAAUCGGAUUCCGGACGCACGCGUGGAUCAAUCCCCCACCACCAGGUCCACCACUCGUCCGGGGCCGCCACGUGUCCGUCAUUAUUAACCCAACACUGCUUCUUCACUACUGCACACUGAACUCUCUCUCUCAACGAAACCCUAAUUUUCUGUGUCUGGAUUUUUUCCCACGUACCAAACACUUUCUCUUUCGUUAUUUUGUCUCUCUCCAAGUCCUCUCUGGAAUUGCAUGGUUUUGAUUCUGGGAUUGCAUUUUUUUUUUUUGAAUUUUAACUCGAUUUUCUUAUUUCUUUAGGGAAGGUGUCAGAAUCAGCUGGAAGAUUAUUCACUUUCUAGAAUCUGAAGGUUUUUGAGCCUUUUUACAGAUUAUGGAAUGGAUUUUGACCCGACUUUCUCGUUUUCUGAACACGGAUGGGAGAAUCAUCUGGAAGAUCCAUCACUCGCUUGAAUCCUAAGUUUUUUGAUUUUUUUUUUUUUGAAAAUUUGGAUUAAAUUUUUUGCUUUUUUCUAUGAAUCUGCGCUUUUGAAUUUUUUUUGGGGGAAAUUUUUGUUGUGAAAUUUCGCUCAAUUUUUUCAUUUUCCAGUCAAAGAUGGCAGAACAGCCUCGGAGAUUUACAGUAGGGUACGCUCUCGCGCCAAAGAAAGUGAGCAGUUUCAUCCAGCCUUCAUUGGUGGACCAUGCGAAGCAGCGCGGUAUUGAUCUCGUUCGAAUCGAUCUGGACAAGCCAUUGAUCGAACAAGGACCGUUCGAUUGCAUCAUUCACAAAAUGAAUGACGAGGAUUGGAAGAAUCAGUUGGAGGAGUUCUCGACGAAGAACCCUAAUGUCGUCAUAAUCGACCCGCCGGAUGCAAUUGAGCAGCUUCACAGCCGGAUUUCGAUGCUGGAGGUGGUAAAGGAUUUGAAAAUUCCGGAAGGAACGGAGAGUUUUGGGAUUCCGAAGCAAAUUGUGAUUUAUGAUCCGAAAUCGUUAUUGGACUCCAAGGUGUUGGAUGGGCUGAGUUUUCCGGUGAUUGCUAAGCCGUUGGUGGCAGAUGGGAGUGCGAAAUCUCAUAAAAUGUCGCUGGCGUUCAACGGAGAGGGGUUGAAGAAGCUGACCACUCCUAUUGUGUUGCAGGAGUUUGUGAACCAUGGCGGGGUUAUCUUCAAGGUGUAUGUAGUUGGGGACCAUGUGACCUGUGUGAAGCGCAGGUCGUUGCCCGAUGUUUCGGCGGAGAAGUUGGGGGCAUCCGAGGGUUUGUUGACAUUCUCUCAGAUAUCAAACUUGACUGCAACUCAAGAACCUGGUGAAAAUGAUUGUGAAGACAUAAUGAAUCACGUGGAAGAAGCUGAGAUGCCACCAUUAAAUUUUGUUAAUGAAAUUGCAAUAGGACUGAGGAAGGCAAUGGGACUUAAUCUUUUUAACUUUGAUGUGAUCAGAGAUGCUAAGUUAGGAAACAGGUACCUUGUUAUUGAUAUCAAUUACUUUCCGGGCUAUGCGAAAAUGCCAUCUUAUGAGACUGUGUUGACUGAUUUUUUCUGGGAUAUUGUGCACCGUAAGAGUUUGGGCAUGAAAGACUUUGAGCAGAGUGGUUCUGAUUGUAGAAAAAGUGAUAAAGAAGCCUGAUAUUAUGACUGGGAUGAUAAUGCAGUUUAAGUUUGAGUUACAUGGCAGGCCAUGUAUACAUUUCUUGGGGUAGGUUGUAUUGGUUCCUUGAAUUGGAAUAAUGGGUUUCUUCACAGAAGCACUUGAAUGGCAUGGAAUAAUGUGGACUGUUCCCAAGUGAGGUGCGAUGAAAGGAAAUGAAUUUCUCAACUCUCUCAAGUUUGUGGUGCCCCAUCCAAAAAUUGAUUGAUGGCAGCAAAAUCUCUGAUCCAGUUCAACUGAAGGAAGAGCAUGGGGCUCAUUUUCAAGAAAAUUUUGACACUAAGUGUACCGAGACGCGGCAUAAGUCCUGAGAUCAUCAAUUUAGGUUUGUCUUUAGUAAAAGAGACAUAUGUCUUGUACUUGGGGAGCAUAAAGCACUGGGUUUUGAUGAUUAUUCUUUCUUCCCUUCUUUUGAAGAAAUUGUUAAACAUUACUGAUCCUGAUAUCUUUGAAGCUAUGACAAGUUCUUUCU
Molecule: RNA transcript, 2106 nt
Organism: Vitis riparia (riverbank grape)
Lineage: Eukaryota; Viridiplantae; Streptophyta; Magnoliopsida; Vitales; Vitaceae
Gene name: inositol-tetrakisphosphate 1-kinase 1-like
Exons: 2
Source: RefSeq, a predicted model, not a curated record